RNAcentral lists this ribosomal RNA (759 nucleotides) under cyanobacterium enrichment culture clone B_RT_B.4.2_A11-T7. RNAcentral describes it as "bacterial SSU rRNA". It matches the Rfam family "Bacterial small subunit ribosomal RNA", at positions 8 to 809 of the family's 1533-position model. Lineage: Bacteria; Bacillati; Cyanobacteriota. The record is from RNAcentral.
AGAGUUUGAUCCUGGCUCAGGAUGAACGCUGGCGGUCUGCUUAACACAUGCAAGUCGAACGGGAUCCUUCGGGAUUUAGUGGCGGACGGGUGAGUAACGCGUGAGAAUCUGCCCUUAGGUUGGGGACAACAGCUGGAAACGACUGCUAAUACCUAAUGUGCCGAGAGGUGAAAGGUUAACUGCCUGGGGAUGAGCUCGCGUCUGAUUAGCUAGUUGGAGUGGUAACGGCACACCAAGGCGACGAUCAGUAGCUGGUCUGAGAGGAUGAUCAGCCACACUGGGACUGAGACACGGCCCAGACUCCUACGGGAGGCAGCAGUGGGGAAUUUUCCGCAAUGGGCGAAAGCCUGACGGAGCAAGACCGCGUGAGGGAGGAAGGCCUAUUGGUUGUAAACCUCUUUUGAUAGGGAAGAACACAAUGACGGUACCUAUCGAAUCAGCAUCGGCUAACUCCGUGCCAGCAGCCGCGGUAAUACGGAGGAUGCAAGCGUUAUCCGGAUUUAUUGGGCGUAAAGCGUCCGUAGGUGGCAAACCAAGUCAGUUGUUAAAGCGUAGAGCUUAACUCUAUAAGGGCAAUUGAAACUGGUUAGCUAGAGUGCGAUAGGGGCAAGGGGAAUUCCCAGUGUAGCGGUGAAAUGCGUAGAUAUUGGGAAGAACAUCGGUGGCGAAGGCGCCUUGCUGGGUCUGCACUGACACUGAGGGACGAAAGCUAGGGGAGCGAAAGGGAUUAGAUACCCCUGUAGUCCUAGCCGUAAACGA